Molecule: ribosomal RNA, 378 nt
Filed under: uncultured bacterium
Lineage: Bacteria
Description: bacterial SSU rRNA
Rfam family: Bacterial small subunit ribosomal RNA
Source: RNAcentral
AUACGUAGGGCGCAAGCGUUGUCCGGAAUUAUUGGGCGUAAAGAGCUCGUAGGCGGUUUGUCGCGUCUGCUGUGAAAGUCCGAGGCUCAACCUCGGAUCUGCAGUGGGUACGGGCAAACUAGAGUGUGGUAGGGGAGACUGGAAUUCCUGGUGUAGCGGUGGAAUGCGCAGAUAUCAGGAGGAACACCAAUGGCGAAGGCAGGUCUCUGGGCCAUAACUGACGCUGAGGAGCGAAAGCAUGGGGAGCGAACAGGAUUAGAUACCCUGGUAGUCCAUGCCGUAAACGGUGGGCACUAGAUGUGGGGCUCUUUCCAUGAGUUCCGCGUCGCAGCUAACGCAUUAAGUGCCCCGCCUGGGGAGUACGGCCGCAAGGCUAAA